UACGUAGGGUGCAAGCGUUGUCCGGAAUUAUUGGGCGUAAAGGGCGCGUAGGCGGCUUUGCAAGUGGACGGGUGAAAUCCCUCGGCUUAACCGAGGAACUGCCUGCCAGACUGUGAGGCUUGAGACCGGGAGAGGUGGAGUGGAAUUCCCAGUGUAGCGGUGAAAUGCGUAGAUAUUGGGAGGAACACCAGUGGCGAAGGCGGCUCACGUGGACCGGAACUCGGACGCUGAGGCGCG
Molecule: ribosomal RNA, 237 nt
Filed under: uncultured bacterium
Lineage: Bacteria
Description: partial 16S ribosomal RNA
Rfam family: Bacterial small subunit ribosomal RNA
Source: RNAcentral